UACGUAGGGGGCAAGCGUUGUCCGGAAUUAUUGGGCGUAAAGGGCGCGUAGGCGGGCCUUUAAGUCCGGUGUGAAAGAUCAGGGCUCAACCCUGAGAGUGCAUCGGAAACUGGAGGCCUUGAGGACAGGAGAGGAAAGUGGAAUUCCACGUGUAGCGGUGAAAUGCGUAGAUAUGUGGAGGAACACCAGUGGCGAAGGCGACUUUCUGGACUGUAACUGACGCUGAGGCGCGAAAGCGUGGGGAGCAAACAGGAUUAGAUACCCUGGUAGUCCACGCCGUAAACGAUGAGUGCUAGGUGUAGAGGGUAUCGACCCCUUCUGUGCCGCAGUUAACACAAUAAGCACUCCGCCUGGGGAGUACGGCCGCAAGGUUGAA
Molecule: ribosomal RNA, 376 nt
Filed under: uncultured bacterium
Lineage: Bacteria
Description: bacterial SSU rRNA
Rfam family: Bacterial small subunit ribosomal RNA
Source: RNAcentral